GUUCCGUAGGUGAACCUGCGGAAGGAUCAUUACAAAAAAUAAGAGUAGCAAUACUCUUGCUCGAAGAGUUUGGCGUUCGCCCUCCCCUCUCCUUGCGAGAAGGGAACGAACAAAAAACGACUUGAGAAAUCUUUUGUGCACCGUAAAAACAAAUUCGCGUUUAAAUCUUCUGUCUGAUGUAUAUUUACAGUUUUCGCGAACCGGAUUCACGUCCAUUUGCAAGAAAAGAAAACAUAAAAAUAACUUUUAACAACGGAUCUCUUGGCUCUC
Molecule: unclassified non-coding RNA, 270 nt
Filed under: plant metagenome
Description: partial contains small subunit ribosomal RNA, internal transcribed spacer 1, and 5.8S ribosomal RNA
Source: RNAcentral